Molecule: ribosomal RNA, 1229 nt
Filed under: Salmonella enterica
Lineage: Bacteria; Pseudomonadati; Pseudomonadota; Gammaproteobacteria; Enterobacterales; Enterobacteriaceae
Also listed under: 1 other name
Description: partial 23S ribosomal RNA
Rfam family: Bacterial large subunit ribosomal RNA
Source: RNAcentral
GAUUCGUCACACUAUCAUUAACUGAAUCCAUAGGUUAAUGAGGCGAACCGGGGGAACUGAAACAUCUAAGUACCCCGAGGAAAAGAAAUCAACCGAGAUUCCCCCAGUAGCGGCGAGCGAACGGGGAGGAGCCCAGAGCCUGAAUCAGCAUGUGUGUUAGUGGAAGCGUCUGGAAAGGCGCGCGAUACAGGGUGACAGCCCCGUACACAAAAGCGCAUAUGCUGUGAGCUCGAUGAGUAGGGCGGGACACGUGGUAUCCUGUCUGAAUAUGGGGGGACCAUCCUCCAAGGCUAAAUACUCCUGACUGACCGAUAGUGAACCAGUACCGUGAGGGAAAGGCGAAAAGAACCCCGGCGAGGGGAGUGAAAAAGAACCUGAAACCGUGUACGUACAAGCAGUGGGAGCACCCUUUGGGGUGUGACUGCGUACCUUUUGUAUAAUGGGUCAGCGACUUAUAUUCUGUAGCAAGGUUAACCGAAUAGGGGAGCCGGAGGGAAACCGAGUCUUAAUUGGGCGUUAAGUUGCAGGGUAUAGACCCGAAACCCGGUGAUCUAGCCAUGGGCAGGUUGAAGGUUGGGUAACACUAACUGGAGGACCGAACCGACUAAUGUUGAAAAAUUAGCGGAUGACCUGUGGCUGGGGGUGAAAGGCCAAUCAAACCGGGAGAUAGCUGGUUCUCCCCGAAAGCUAUUUAGGUAGCGCCUCGUGAAUUCAUCUCCGGGGGUAGAGCACUGUUUCGGCUAGGGGGCCAUCCCGGCUUACCAACCCGAUGCAAACUGCGAAUACCGGAGAAUGUUAUCACGGGAGACACACGGCGGGUGCUAACGUCCGUCGUGAAGAGGGAAACAACCCAGACCGCCAGCUAAGGUCCCAAAGUCAUGGUUAAGUGGGAAACGAUGUGGGAAGGCCCAGACAGCCAGGAUGUUGGCUUAGAAGCAGCCAUCAUUUAAAGAAAGCGUAAUAGCUCACUGGUCGAGUCGGCCUGCGCGGAAGAUGUAACGGGGCUAAACCAUGCACCGAAGCUGCGGCAGCGACACUGUGUGUUGUUGGGUAGGGGAGCGUUCUGUAAGCCUGCGAAGGUGGCCUGUGAGGGUUGCUGGAGGUAUCAGAAGUGCGAAUGCUGACAUAAGUAACGAUAAAGCGGGUGAAAAGCCCGCUCGCCGGAAGACCAAGGGUUCCUGUCCAACGUUAAUCGGGGCAGGGUGAGUCGACCCCUAAGGCGAGGCCGA